ACAUCAAAGAGCAGUAUCGCAGAGAAGGGAACGCGGCGGGUGGGAAGGAUAUAAAACUGCGACCAUAGUCAGCGGUAGUUGCGCACAGCACGUGUGCAAUGGCGGCCGCCAUGUCAAGGCGAGGCUAGCCACUGUAGCGAGGCGUCACGCGAGGCGUGCGUGCGUGUUAGUGAAUUAACGAUGUGUUUUUAAGGAACCCGUGGUGUUAGCGCCUGCGCAGUCUCAUUCGUGGAGUAGUAUAUUUGGAUAGUUUUAUCUAUGGCUGCUGUUGUGACUUCCAAACAACCCAAGGCAACUGUUUUACCCCUGUCCUUCGCGGCUUUGUGGAUCUAUCAGCGUGCAUCGAUGUGCAGUGUUCUCCCCGGCGCCGAUUUACCAUUUCGAGGUUUUUUUAACCACUUCCUCAAAAGGACGCCCUUUGGUCGAAGUCAACGAAAAGCUCUCAAUCAAGAUUGCUGACCUGACGAAGAUCUCGAAGGAGGAAUCUGUAAAAAUACAUGCUGUGCUAAUAAAUGCUUUUAGCAAUUUUA
Molecule: long non-coding RNA, 530 nt
Organism: Dermacentor silvarum
Lineage: Eukaryota; Metazoa; Arthropoda; Arachnida; Ixodida; Ixodidae
Exons: 2
Source: RefSeq, a predicted model, not a curated record